GGAGACAUUAACACUGAUAUGUAAGGAUGUGCAAAGUAGGUGGUCCCUGGAAAGCAAAGCAAAGCCACUGCUUAGAUUGUAUAUGGAGGUAUAUUGUUAAAUUGACAAAUUAGGGGACUGGAAAGUGUCUAUUCUUCAAAGUUAACAGUUUUAAGGUAACUUAGCCUCACGUUAACUUGCAAUUUGCUGUGAUAUCACAAAAAACAAAACAAAUCCUUACCUAUUUCCUCCUGAACCCUACAGUGCCUGAUUAUAGUUGUUUGUGGUAUUGUUUACUGGAGUACACUUUAGUGUACCAAACAAGAGGAG
This is a non-coding RNA of Pelobates cultripes (western spadefoot toad), 309 nucleotides long. NCBI's taxonomy places the organism in Eukaryota, Metazoa, Chordata, Amphibia, Anura, Pelobatidae. The record is from the annotation of a GenBank genome assembly.